CUGCAACCAGUUAAACUCAUCAGGUUCCUUUUCUCGGGGGACCUGGUGUGCAGUGGCUGCCGGCAGCAGUCCCCUUGGGAAUGCACGCAGCCUGUUGCUUGUAUGGAUUCCCUAAGGAACCCUGAAGACCAUU
Small nucleolar RNA from Peromyscus maniculatus bairdii (prairie deer mouse), 133 nucleotides. Its record names the gene SNORA70. It matches the Rfam family "Small nucleolar RNA SNORA70". Rfam says of the family: snoRNA U70 seems to be exclusive to mammals and is a member of the H/ACA class of snoRNA which contain H (ANANNA) and ACA box motifs. H/ACA box snoRNAs are involved in the conversion of uridines to pseudouridines (5-ribosyluracil) a constituent of structural RNAs (transfer, ribosomal, small nuclear, and small nucleolar). The record is from Ensembl. Lineage: Eukaryota; Metazoa; Chordata; Mammalia; Rodentia; Cricetidae.